GACGAACGCUGGCGGCGUGCCUAACACAUGCAAGUCGAACGGAGAUAGUUAAUGAAGCUUGCGAUUUAGCUAUCUUAGUGGCGAACGGGUGAGUAACGCGUGGGUAACCUGCCCUUAAGACCGGGACAACAGCUGGAAACGGCUGCUAAUACCGGAUGUAUUGUCCGAGAGGCAUCUCUUGGAGAAGAAAGCUGGCCUCUGAAAAUGCUAGCGCUUAAGGAUGGACCCGCGUCUGAUUAGUUAGUUGGUGGGGUAACGGCCUACCAAGACAGCGAUCAGUAGCCGGCCUGAGAGGGUAAACGGCCACACUGGGACUGAGACACGGCCCAGACUCCUACGGGAGGCAGCAGUGGGGAAUCUUCCGCAAUGGACGAAAGUCUGACGGAGCAACGCCGCGUGAGUGAAGAAGGUUUUCGGAUCGUAAAACUCUGUUUUCAGGGACGAAUGUGCGCAGUGUAAAUAAUGCUGUGUAAUGACGGUACCUGAGUAGAAAGCCACGGCUAACUACGUGCCAGCAGCCGCGGUAAUACGUAGGGGGCAAGCGUUGUCCGGAAUCAUUGGGCGUAAAGGGCGCGUAGGCGGCAAUAUAAGUCUGAUGUGAAAGUGCGGAGCUUAACU
This 618-nucleotide ribosomal RNA is filed under the name uncultured bacterium. RNAcentral's name for it is "bacterial SSU rRNA". It matches the Rfam family "Bacterial small subunit ribosomal RNA", at positions 28 to 614 of the family's 1533-position model. The record is from RNAcentral.